RNAcentral lists this ribosomal RNA (816 nucleotides) under uncultured bacterium. RNAcentral's name for it is "bacterial SSU rRNA". It matches the Rfam family "Bacterial small subunit ribosomal RNA", at positions 8 to 843 of the family's 1533-position model. The record is from RNAcentral.
AGAGUUUGAUCCUGGCUCAGGACGAACGCUGGCGGCGUGCUUAACACAUGCAAGUCAAGGACCGUAGCAAUACGGGACUGGCGCACGGGUGCGGAACACGUAGGCAAUCUGCCCUUGAAGGGAGAACAACCAGUCGAAAGAUUGGCUAAAUCUCCGUAAAAUCAUAGAGUGGCAUCACUUAUUGAUCAAGUUUUUUCAAGGAUGAGCCUGCGUCUGAUUAGCUAGUUGGCGGGGUAACGGCCCACCAAGGCUACGAUCAGUAGCUGGUCUGAGAGGAUGAUCAGCCACAUUGGGACUGAGAUACGGCCCAGACUCCUACGGGAGGCAGCAGUGAGGAAUAUUGCUCAAUGGGGGAAACCCUGAAGCAACAACGCCGCGUAAAGGAUGAAGGCGCUUUGCGUUGUAAACUUUUGUAGUCGGGGACAAACCGGGAGUUACUACUCCCCUGAUGGUACCCGAAAAGUAAGGAUCGGCUAACUACGUGCCAGCAGCCGCGGUAAUACGUAGGAUCCGAGCGUUGUCCGGAUUUACUGGGUGUAAAGGGUGCGCAGGCGGACUGGUAAGUCAGAGGUGAAAUCUCGUCGCUUAACGACGAAACUGCCUUUGAUACUAUCAGUCUUGAAUCCGGUAGAGAUCUGUGGAAUUCCGAGUGUAGCAGUGAAAUGUGUAGAUAUUCGGAAGAACACCAGUGGCGAAGGCAGCAGAUUGGGCCGGUAUUGACGCUCAGGCACGAAAGCAUGGGGAUCAAACAGGAUUAGAGACCCUGGUAGUCCAUGCCCUAAACGAUGUUCACUUGAUGUCUGCCCUCAGGGUAGG